Ribosomal RNA from Panthera pardus (leopard), 113 nucleotides. Lineage: Eukaryota; Metazoa; Chordata; Mammalia; Carnivora; Felidae. The record is from Ensembl.
GACAUCUGGUAGAGACUGCUGAAGCCACCUGGUCCCAGCAGACCCUGGAAGUCGGCCACAUUCACUGGUGCUGGGGCAAGAUUGUUAAGAGUGAAGCCUGGUGCCAGAUGUGU